Molecule: small nucleolar RNA, 103 nt
Organism: Rosa rugosa (rugosa rose)
Lineage: Eukaryota; Viridiplantae; Streptophyta; Magnoliopsida; Rosales; Rosaceae
Source: RefSeq, a predicted model, not a curated record
GAAAUCUGGCCUUUAUAAAUUUCUUCCCCUGAAAGAAAAACAGAAGUUAAUGCUUGUACUCCUUCUCCGUUUGGUUAACAAGUUUGGCUAUUCUGUGACAAUU